This is a long non-coding RNA of Hyla sarda, 328 nucleotides long. RefSeq lists it as uncharacterized. Lineage: Eukaryota; Metazoa; Chordata; Amphibia; Anura; Hylidae. The transcript has 3 exons. The record is from RefSeq and is a predicted model, not a curated record.
GCUUACUAAAGGAGCCAGCACUUCCUCAUAGGAGAGCACAGACGUUUGUAUAGCAUGGGAAAUGUCACUUAUGGUUACAUAAGGUCUAAUGACUGAUCACCGCGACAGGCUUGAUGAUAAAAACAUAAUGGAAGCUUUAUAAAGUGAGGGUUUGAACCCAGCCUUAUAAUGCAGAAGUGAACCCAGCCUUAUAAUGCAGAAGUGAACCCAGCCUUAUAAUGCAGAAGUGAACCCAGCCUUAUAAUGCAGAAGUGAACCCAGCCUUAUAAAUGCAGAAGUGAACCCAGCCUUAUAAUGCAGAAGUGAACACAGCCUUAUGACAUGUGCA